GUAAGUUCCGACCCGCACGAAAGGCGUAAUGAUUUGGGCACUGUCUCAACAAUGCACCCGGUGAAAUUGAAAUACCAGUGAAGAUGCUGGUUACCUGCGCCAGGACGGAAAGACCCCAUGGAGCUUUACUCCAGCUUGAUACUGGGAUUCGAUAUUGCAUGUACAGGAUAGGUGGGAGACGAGGAACACAUAACGCCAGUUGUGUGGGAGUCGCUGUUGGGAUACCACCCUUGCAGUAUUGGGUUUCUAACCAGCAGCCGUGAUCCGGCUGGGGGACAAUGUCAGGUGGGGAGUUUGACUGGGGCGGUCGCCCCCGAAAGG
Molecule: ribosomal RNA, 321 nt
Filed under: Chloropicon mariensis
Lineage: Eukaryota; Viridiplantae; Chlorophyta; Chloropicophyceae; Chloropicales; Chloropicaceae
Description: partial Bacterial large subunit ribosomal RNA
Rfam family: Bacterial large subunit ribosomal RNA
Source: RNAcentral